Molecule: small nucleolar RNA, 133 nt
Organism: Cercocebus atys (sooty mangabey)
Lineage: Eukaryota; Metazoa; Chordata; Mammalia; Primates; Cercopithecidae
Source: Ensembl
UUGCAUCUAUUUGACAGACUAGAAUAAUUACUAUCUGCUGCUAAGGUUUCCCCUGCAGAUGCAAGAAAAAAGGGACCUUACACUUUCUGUCUGUCUGAUUGUGGCAGCCAAGAUUGAAUAGGGAAAUACAGAG